This is a long non-coding RNA of Danaus plexippus (monarch butterfly), 930 nucleotides long. RefSeq lists it as uncharacterized. Lineage: Eukaryota; Metazoa; Arthropoda; Insecta; Lepidoptera; Nymphalidae. The record is from RefSeq and is a predicted model, not a curated record. The transcript has 2 exons.
UUUUUUUUUGUUUGCUAUGGCUUCAUUCGCACUGGACUUAUCGAACAUUUUGCCAACAUCAACAUUCAAUACUUGGUUUGUGAGUAUAGGAUGUUGGUAAAACUCACCUGUGAGUUUGACACCGAUGACCUUGGGACACUUCAGCUCCCACGGGAUGUCGGCCAUUACAUCUACAGCAUCAGCUCCGCCAACACCUGGGCAUACAUAGCAUAUAAAGUUUAAGCAAUACCAUAUGUAUAACAUAUAAAACUAUAAGUUAAGACAAGUAAAUAAUAAAUUUUAAAUAAUAUGUCUUAUGUGUUAAAUUCAUGACAGUAUUGUUAAUAUCUGUGUUUUCAGAUUGAAUUAACAUAGCUCUGAAACAUAUCUCAAUGACAUAAUAUGUUUUCGGUAUAUCUAUAUAUUUUAGCAGGCAUAUAAUAAAUACACGUACAAAUUAGUAAGUAAAUUGUAAUGGCAACUCCUUUUGAGGUCUUACCAAUGCAGAGUCCACCAAGACCACCGCCGUUAGGAGUGUGAGAAUCGGUACCGAUCAUCAGUAAACCAGGAAAGGCGUAAUUCUCCAAGAUGAUCUGGUGAAUGAUACCAGAACCAGGUUUCCAGAACCCAACUCCGUACUUGGCACCGGCUGUUUCAAGGAACUUGUAUACCUCUUUGUUAAUAUCCUAAUGAAAAAUAAAUUACUUUAGUAUCAUAUUAUUACACUUAUUGAGUAAAUUCAAUCAUUGCUUGAAUACCUUGGCUCUUGCUAAAUCUUUAUCUCCGCCGAUUUGGGCCUCAAUCAAGUGAUCGCAGUGGAUGGUAGAUGGAACAGCCACUCUGGGGAGUCCUGAAGAUAUGAACUGUAGCAUGGCCAUCUGCGCUGUGGCAUCUUGCAUUGCAACACGGUCAGGACGAAGGCGGAGAUAGCUGGUACCACGUUCGAUUUCC